AACUGGCCAGCUACUGCCGUAUGGAACCCUUGUCACUAAUCAGGAACGUCUGACGUUGGGCUCAUCAAUUGGACGGUGAAUAUCGAUAGAUCGGGUGGGCCCCUGGUUGCCGGAGCUGGAUAGUUAACUCCAGGGGGCGGAUCACGUGGUGAGGGAACAGCGGCGGCCUCUGCGAGCGAACAAAGUAGGGUUAGACCUCGCCGCCCAACCGGAGAUAUAAGAUGGAAUCUCUUUACCAAAAUUAUUGGAGAAAAGGUCGAGAAGAACAGACUUAGAGACGGAGACGAAGCAAGAUUCGAUUUUUAGGGUUUCUCCUCUCUCGAUCGAUACCAUUGUUGCCAUAUUUUUCUCCUUUUUUCGGUUGUAUUUUGCUUACGAUUCUGGUUUGGGAGGUAAUGAAUCCAUUUUUCUGACCUUGGGGAAUAGUUUUUCAAAAUAAAAGGGUUCUUUCGUAAGAUUUGUUGAGGUCCCCAGCUCCGAUGCCGUGCUUCUCCCCGUCCCGCCGGAGAGCCCGGUGGGAAGAGAAGGGAGGAAUGCCGGGAGUAACAUCUUGUCUUAUGAUCAUUGUGGUCUGCUUCAAAGUAACUGUCACAAAGCUUUGACAUGGUGUUGCAAUGAUUUCUGCCGUGAUGCCAUUAUAUUUGCAGAAGAGGGGGCUACAUGCCUACAUCCAUGGUGAUAUAUAAAGUCGCAAAGGGACAUUGCAGAAGACCUUUUCAGAAGUUUUGCUGCAAAGAAGGGAACAUCAUUUAAUGGAACAAGAUAUUGAAAGCCUUUAAGCUGUGACACACUGGACUGAUCACCAAAGAUAUUUUCAAGUCAUACUAGAUGUGGUGGAGGAAGAUUUACAAGAGACAGGACAAGAGGUGCAUCAGGAUACAGGAAAUUGGGUCUAUCUGGUAAUGCAAGAAUGUAGGAUACGCAGGACUUCCGUGUGGAUAAGAUAUCUGGCUAAGAUUGCAAAUUUAGGUCAUGUCUCCUGCAAAAUCCUGACAAUUUUUCCUGGGAAGCCUAAUCUGGCAGGUAAGUCUCAAUCUUUCCUCCAGAAUCUGACAGUGGAGCAAAAAUAAAGUUACACAUUGUCUAUGUAAUUUUUUUGUUUGGAGUGUGUGUUAUUUGAACAAUUCUCUUCUUGUAAUUUAUUCAUUUAGUGUAAAGCUGCUGCUUCAUUUUAUUAUA
Non-coding RNA from Phoenix dactylifera (date palm), 1179 nucleotides. The record is from RefSeq and is a predicted model, not a curated record. NCBI's taxonomy places the organism in Eukaryota, Viridiplantae, Streptophyta, Magnoliopsida, Arecales, Arecaceae.